This 631-nucleotide ribosomal RNA is filed under the name uncultured archaeon. RNAcentral describes it as "bacterial SSU rRNA". It matches the Rfam family "Archaeal small subunit ribosomal RNA", at positions 193 to 824 of the family's 1478-position model. The record is from RNAcentral.
GCUCCGGCGCCAGAGGAUGGGUCUGCGGCCUAUCAGGUAGUAGUGGGUGUAGCGUACCUACUAGCCUACGACGGGUACGGGUUGUGAGAGCAAGAGCCCGGAGAUGGAUUCUGAGACACGAAUCCAGGCCCUACGGGGUGCAGCAGGCGCGAAAACUUUACAAUGCCGGCAACGGCGAUAAGGGGACCUCGAGUGCCAGGUUACAAAUCUGGCUGUCGUGAUGCCUAAAAAGCAUUGCAUAGCAAGGGCCGGGCAAGACCGGUGCCAGCCGCCGCGGUAACACCGGCGGCUCGAGUGGUAACCGUUAUUAUUGGGUCUAAAGGGUCUGUAGCCGGCCGGAUAAGUCUCUUGAGAAAUCCAGCAGCUCAACUGUUGGGCUUUCAGGAGAUACUGUUCGGCUCGAGGCCGGGAGAGGUGAGAGGUACUUCAGGGGUAGGGGUGAAAUCUUGUAAUCCUUGAAGGACCACCAGUGGCGAAGGCGUCUCACCAGAACGGACCUGACGGCAAGGGACGAAAGCUAGGGGCACGAACCGGAUUAGAUACCCGGGUAGUCCUAGCCGUAAACGAUACUCGCUAGGUGUCGGCCACGGUGCGACCGUUGUCGGUGCCGUAGGGAAGCCGUGAAGCGAGC